Molecule: ribosomal RNA, 383 nt
Filed under: uncultured bacterium
Lineage: Bacteria
Description: bacterial SSU rRNA
Rfam family: Bacterial small subunit ribosomal RNA
Source: RNAcentral
GACGAACGCUGGCGGCGUGCUUAACACAUGCAAGUCGAGCGGGAUCCAACCGGUGGCAACACCGGGGAAGAUCUAGCGGCGAACGGGUGAGUAACACGUGAGCAACCUGCCCCGAAGACUGGGAUAACACCGGGAAACCGGUGCUAAUACCGGAUGUCGUCAUUAGGCCGCAUGACCUGAUGAUGAAAGGAUUCAUCGCUUCGGGAGGGGCUCGCGGGCUAUCAGCUUGUUGGNGGGGUAACGGCCUACCAAGGCGACGACGGCUAGCUGGUCUGAGAGGACGACCAGCCACACUGGGACUGAGACACGGCCCAGACUCCUACGGGAGGCAGCAGUGGGGAAUCUUGCGCAAUGGGCGAAAGCCUGACGCAGCAACGCCGCGU